AAGUCGUAACAAGGUUUCCGUAGGUGAACCUGCGGAAGGAUCAUUACAUAAUUUAAGCAAGAAGACAAGCGUGCCGAGGGGUCAAAGCCGACGCAUGCCUUGCUCUCUCUUCAUACACCCUUGUGAACCGUUCUCGACACCUUUGGCGUAGCUUAUGGUCGCGCACCCGGACUCUGGUCCGUCUGCGGGGCUGUUACGUCAAACGGUACCACACAAAACAAACCAUUUGCACAACUAUAAAGACUUAAUCUAAGAUUUUCUAAUUGAAAUACAACUUUUAACAAUGGAUCUCUUGGCUCUU
RNAcentral lists this unclassified non-coding RNA (301 nucleotides) under fungal sp. Its description in RNAcentral is "partial internal transcribed spacer region". The stretch from base 1 to 46 matches the Rfam family "Eukaryotic small subunit ribosomal RNA", at positions 1786 to 1831 of the family's 1831-position model. Lineage: Eukaryota; Fungi. The record is from RNAcentral.